UACGUAGGGUGCGAGCGUUAAUCGGAAUUACUGGGCGUAAAGCGUGCGCAGGCGGUUUUGUAAGACAGAUGUGAAAUCCCCGGGCUCAACCUGGGACCUGCAUUUGUGACUGCAUCGCUAGAGUACGGUAGAGGGGGAUGGAAUUCCGCGUGUAGCAGUGAAAUGCGUAGAUAUGCGGAGGAACACCGAUGGCGAAGGCAAUCCCCUGGACCUGUACUGACGCUCAUGCACGAAAGCGUGGGGAGCAAACAGG
RNAcentral lists this ribosomal RNA (253 nucleotides) under uncultured bacterium. RNAcentral's name for it is "partial 16S ribosomal RNA". It matches the Rfam family "Bacterial small subunit ribosomal RNA", at positions 524 to 776 of the family's 1533-position model. The record is from RNAcentral.